Molecule: non-coding RNA, 30 nt
Filed under: Mus musculus (house mouse)
Lineage: Eukaryota; Metazoa; Chordata; Mammalia; Rodentia; Muridae
Source: RNAcentral
UCUUGCACCACAGUGUGCUCCCGGUCUCAG